Phalaenopsis equestris is the source of this 666-nucleotide long non-coding RNA. RefSeq lists it as uncharacterized. Lineage: Eukaryota; Viridiplantae; Streptophyta; Magnoliopsida; Asparagales; Orchidaceae. The transcript is spliced from 3 exons. The record is from RefSeq and is a predicted model, not a curated record.
CUCUUUCCUCGGACGCAGGAUAGCCACGCCGUUCUCUCAAAAAAAAACCUCCGUAAAGAAUUUCGCUUCUUCUACGUUUUUAUACACCCGGCGAGGUUUAUUUUUUGCUCUUCUCCUCCGGUGCGUCCGUUGUCGACCGACGCUGCUUGCGACUCAAUAUUUUUUGGUUUUUCUAGGUUCACUCUUCGCCCUUCUUCUCCUUCCUCCACGGCAUAGCACAUGGAGCAACCAGCGGCUGGAAAGACUAAGCAUAAGGAAGGAAAGUUGAGUAAUCAACGGGCAAGUAACAGGGAAAGUGAAAUUGACUUUAGAGCUCUUCCAUAGGUGGUGCAGACACUCUCUAUGGUCCGCAGUUGGAAAAACAAAAUGAUUGCUUCUUUGAGGCCUUGCACCAUUUAAUAUAAUUGCUAAGUUUCAUAAUAGAGCACCCAAGUAUUUUGGCUUCAAAUGGCUAACAUCAAGUCCAAUGAAGUCUCUACAACCUUUCAAGAAAACCGAUAAAUUUUAUAGCUUACAUAAAACCUCUCAAAGGUUGAAUCGUUUUCACCCCAUGUAUAUGUAAUAUGUGAUCCUACAUUUUUAUUAAUUUGUUAUGCUUAUUGUGCUGGUACCCAUAUGUAGUUAUCAUCAACUGAAUAAAAAAUUCUCUCUCGAGCUUUUUAUCUU